CGUGUAGGCGGGUUUGUUAGUCAGAGGUGAAAUCCUACAGCUUAACUGUAGAACUGCCUUUGAUACUACAAAUCUUGAGUUUGGAAGAGAGAGACGGAAUUCCAGGUGUAGUGGUGAAAUACGUAGAUAUCUGGAAGAACACCAGUUGCGAAGGCGGUCUCUUAGUCCGAUACUGACGCUAAGGCGCGAAAGCAUGGGGAGCAAACA
Molecule: ribosomal RNA, 207 nt
Filed under: uncultured bacterium
Lineage: Bacteria
Description: partial 16S ribosomal RNA
Rfam family: Bacterial small subunit ribosomal RNA
Source: RNAcentral